Molecule: ribosomal RNA, 504 nt
Filed under: uncultured bacterium
Lineage: Bacteria
Description: partial 16S ribosomal RNA
Rfam family: Bacterial small subunit ribosomal RNA
Source: RNAcentral
GAUAAACGCUAGCGGCAGGCUUAACACAUGCAAGUCGAGGGGCAGCAUAGAUUGUAGCAAUACAAUUGGUGGCGACCGGCGCACGGGUGCGUAACGCGUAUGCAACCUACCCGUCACAGGGGGAUAAUCCGGAGAAAUCUGGUCUAAUACCCCAUAACAUCUGGAUCGGCAUCGGUUCAUGUUGAAAUUUUCGGAGGUGACGGAUGGGCAUGCGUAGCAUUAGCUUGUUGGUGAGGUAACGGCUCACCAAGGCGACGAUGCUUAGGGGGACUGAGAGGUUUUCCCCCCACACUGGUACUGAGACACGGACCAGACUCCUACGGGAGGCAGCAGUGAGGAAUAUUGGUCAAUGGGCGCAAGCCUGAACCAGCCAUGCCGCGUGCAGGAUGACGGCUCUAUGAGUUGUAAACUGCUUUUGUACGAGGGUAAAGUGGGUUACGUGUAACCUUUUGGAAGUAUCGUACGAAUAAGGAUCGGCUAACUCCGUGCCAGCCGCCGCGGUAA